RNAcentral lists this ribosomal RNA (253 nucleotides) under uncultured bacterium. Its description in RNAcentral is "partial 16S ribosomal RNA". It matches the Rfam family "Bacterial small subunit ribosomal RNA", at positions 524 to 776 of the family's 1533-position model. The record is from RNAcentral.
UACGGGGGGAGCAAGCGUUGUUCGGAAUUACUGGGCGUAAAGGGCGCGUAGGCGGUCAGGUAAGUGAGAUGUGAAAUCCUCCGGCUCACCCGGAGAAAUGCAUCUCAUACUGCUUGACUAGAGUGCGGAAGAGGAAUCGGGAAUUCCAGGUGUAGCGGUGAAAUGCGUAGAUAUCUGGAGGAACACCGGUGGCGAAGGCGCGAUUCUGGUCCGUUACUGACGCUGAGGCGCGAAAGCCAGGGGAGCAAACGGG